GACGAACGCUGGCGGCGUGCCUAAUACAUGCAAGUUGAGCGCUGAAGGUUGGUACUUGUACCAACUGGAUGAGCAGCGAACGGGUGAGUAACGCGUGGGUAAUCUGCCUUUGAGCGGGGGACAACAUUUGGAAACGAAUGCUAAUACCGCAUAAAAACUUUAAACACAAGUUUUAAGUUUGAAAGAUGCAAUUGCAUCACUCAAAGAUGAUCCCGCGUUGUAUUAGCUAGUUGGUGAGGUAAAGGCUCACCAAGGCGAUGAUACAUAGCCGACCUGAGAGGGUGAUCGGCCACAUUGGGACUGAGACACGGCCCAAAAUCCUACGGGAGGCAGCAGUAGGGAAUCUUCGGAAAUGGACGAAAGUCUGACCGAGCAACGCCGCGUGAGUGAAGAAGGUUUUCGGAUCGUAAAACUCUGUUGGUAGAGAAGAACGUUGGUGAGAGUGGAAAGCUCAUCAAGUGACGGUAACUACCCAGAAAGGGACGGCUAACUACGUG
Molecule: ribosomal RNA, 497 nt
Filed under: uncultured bacterium
Lineage: Bacteria
Description: partial 16S ribosomal RNA
Rfam family: Bacterial small subunit ribosomal RNA
Source: RNAcentral